CCUACGGGAGGCAGCAGUAGGGAAUCUUGCGCAAUGGGCGAAAGCCUGACGCAGCGACGCCGCGUGAGGGAAGAAGGCCUUCGGGUCGUAAACCUCUGUCCUUGGGGACGAUGAUGACGGUACCCAAGGAGGAAGCCCCGGCUAACUACGUGCCAGCAGCCGCGGUAAUACGUAGGGGGCGAGCGUUGUCCGGAAUCACUGGGCGUAAAGGGUGCGUAGGCGGCUUGGCAAGUCCUGUGUGAAAGGUCGCGGCUCAACCGCGGUGGGUCAUGGGAAACUGCCAAGCUCGAGUGCCGGAGAGGAUAGCGGAAUUCCCGGUGUAGCGGUGAAAUGCGUAGAGAUCGGGAGGAACACCAGUGGCGAAGGCGGCUAUCUGGAAGGUCACUGACGCUGAGGCACGACAGCUGGGGGAGCAAACAGGAUUAGAUACCCGAGUAGUC
RNAcentral lists this ribosomal RNA (440 nucleotides) under uncultured bacterium. RNAcentral describes it as "bacterial SSU rRNA". It matches the Rfam family "Bacterial small subunit ribosomal RNA", at positions 338 to 795 of the family's 1533-position model. The record is from RNAcentral.